GACGAACGCUGGCGGCGUGCUUAACACAUGCAAGUCGAACGGAAAGGCCCUGCUUGUGUGGGGUGCUCGAGUGGCGAACGGGUGAGUAACACGUGAGUAACCUGCCCUUGACUUUGGGAUAACUUCAGGAAACUGGGGCUAAUACCGGAUAGGAGCUCCUGCUGCAUGGUGGGGGUUGGAACGUUUCGGCGGGUGGGGAUGGACGCGCGGCUUAUCAGCUUGUUGGUGGGGUAGUGGCUUACCAAGGCUUUGACGGGUAGCCGGCCCGAGAGGGUGACCGGCCACAUUGCGCCUACGAUACGGCGCAGACUCCUACGUGAGGCAGCAGUGGGGAAUAUUGCACAAUGGGCGCAAGCCUGAUGCAGCAACGCCGCGUUCGUGAUGACGGCCUUCGGGUUGUAAACCGCUUUCGCUUGUGACGAAGCUUGAGUGACGGUAACGGGUAAAGAAGCACCGGCUAACUACGUG
This 468-nucleotide ribosomal RNA is filed under the name uncultured bacterium. RNAcentral's name for it is "partial 16S ribosomal RNA". It matches the Rfam family "Bacterial small subunit ribosomal RNA", at positions 28 to 507 of the family's 1533-position model. The record is from RNAcentral.